UUAACAAAAACAUGUCCUUUUGAUUAUUAUUUAAGGUCUGGUCUGCCCUAUGAUUAUAGUUUAAAUGGCCGCGAUAUUUUGAUCGUGCGAAGGUAGCAUAAUCAUUAGUUUUUUAAUUGAGAGCUGGUAUGAAUGAUUGGACAAGAAACUUUCUGUCUCAUAUUUAUUUUUUGAAUUUUAUUUUUUAGUUAAAAAGCUUAGAUUUUUUUGUAAGACGAGAAGACCCUAUAGAGUUUAAUAUUUUUAUUUACAUUUAGAUUAUAGAAUUAGAAUUUUUUUGUUUUAUAAAGUAUUUGGUUGGGGUGACAUAAAAAUUUAUUAAACUUUUUAUUAAUUGAAAUAUAGAUUUAUAGAUUAUUGACUUAUAAAAAUAGUUAAAAGAUUAAAUUACCUUAGGGAUAACAGCGUAAUUUUUCUAAAGAGUUCAUAUCGAAAGAAAAGAUUGCGACCUCGAUGUUGGAUUAAAGUUUAAAUUUGGUGCAGAAGCUGAAUGGUUUAGUCUGUUCGACUAUUAAAACUUUACAUGAUCUGAGUU
RNAcentral lists this ribosomal RNA (535 nucleotides) under Agrilus graminis graminis. RNAcentral's name for it is "partial 16S ribosomal RNA". The stretch from base 398 to 535 matches the Rfam family "Bacterial large subunit ribosomal RNA", at positions 2473 to 2611 of the family's 2925-position model. The record is from RNAcentral. Lineage: Eukaryota; Metazoa; Arthropoda; Insecta; Coleoptera; Buprestidae.